Molecule: long non-coding RNA, 3732 nt
Organism: Chlorocebus sabaeus (green monkey)
Lineage: Eukaryota; Metazoa; Chordata; Mammalia; Primates; Cercopithecidae
Source: RefSeq, a predicted model, not a curated record
AGAGACAGACUGGGUUGGGGUAAAAUCAUUAGGGAUAUGACUAUCACAUUAAGGAGGAUGGACUUCGGACUUCAUGCUUCAGGAAUUAGAGAAUGGGUGUUGUUAAGGGGGAGAAUUUCAACAGCAAGCUUUCAGUUACUGUCAGUGUCAAUUAAUUCUCUGCCUUUUGCACCUCUGCAUCUUAAAGGAUGGGGAUAUUAAACACACUUAAUGCCAGUUUUUUUGUUUUUGUUUUUGUCACAGUAGCCCAUAGACAUAGAUCCUUAACAUGAGAGUGCUUCAUAAAAGUACUCCCAGGGAGGUCUCAUGGACAUAUAAUGAAGGGCCCCAGUCUGAUGAUGGCUCUCAGAAAUGUCAUCUAAAGCACCUUGCUAUUCCCAUGCUGAUUGAGAACCACUUUGACUUGGCUGCUGCAGCCUUGCCUUUGGAUUGAAUAAUGAUGUCCUCUGCCAUUUUCGGGAAAAGAAAUGACCAGAACCUGCCAUGGUAUGUUGGAAUUUUUUUUCCUGUAGAUUUUUUUUUAGCAGCCCAGGUAGGAAACGAGUAGUCUGUGUCAAAGAGAGCCUUUAUUUAGUUUAGACUGAAGUCCAGGCAUAAAACCAUCAUUAAAAGAUGAAAACAGAGUAGUCGCUUUUCAGGAUUAACUGGUUCUGGGCUUUAUUUGCGUAAGCAAAUUAAUGAGCUGGAAAGUCUCAUUUUUACAAGUGCUAAAUUGUAAAGGCACUACAGGGACAGACUCUUCAAUGUUAUUGGUGUCUGUUCAAAUGAGAGAUGGAAAUCUCGUGGAAUACCAAGGAAGCCUCCUGAUUUAAAAUAUGUCUUCUAAGUGUUAGCAACAUCAUUUCAAUCCCAGCAAAGAGGGAGAUGUCAGAGAACAUUUUUCAUUUUGUUUAUUGCAUAUUUUCCAGCAUGCAUAGAUAAUGCCAAAUUACCAACUAGAAAGAGAAUUUUAUGACAUUUUUCUGUCCAAGAUGGCUAAAAUUUUUAAUAGAAUCAUCUCUCUAGUUCCCUUACUGGCUUCUCAUCCUCCCUCUCUUUCUCUUAUUCUCUCUUCCUCCUUUCCUUUUUAUUAAGCACCUAAAAUACGCAAAUAAAAAUUUGUGACCAAAUUUACAAAGAAAGAAAAUACAAGUUUUAUUCUUAAGAAACUCCAAGUCUAUUGGAGGAAACAGAUGUAUAAAACACAUAAGCAGAUUAUCCCAGUGCAGCAUGAUAAAGAUUUAGUACCAAUUACGUAGAGCCCAAAAAAAGGUUCCCUGAGUUAUCUGGGGUGAAAGUGGGGUUCUAACUUGUCCUUUGAAGAUGUCUGGGAGAGAAAAACAGAGUGGUUCAUCCCCUGGUGAAUGUUUGAUGAAAGCGAGCUUUGUGAAGAAGGUACAACUAGCUGUUCUUCCAAAACACAUGGCUAAUUGGAUAAUUGAGGAGAGUGAACGAUUACCAAAUCUUCGUAUCUGACUUUUAAAAGAACUUUUAUGCUUAUGUUUGCAUCUGGCAGUGCCAUCCUAGAAAGUCUUAGCUCUUUAAAUCAAAUGAAGGUCUAAUUUAGAAGGGACUGAGCAAGAUCUCCUCUCACAGAAUUUCAUUUCCUGCAGGAAUGCAGAGUAUCAAUUUCCAGACGGAAUCCAAAAUCCAGGCUAAGUUCUGCUGCAUAAAUAGCAAUUACAUGAUUAAGAGUUUUGGCUUAAAAGACAUUCCAUGUGUUUAAUUUGUACAGGCCCAUAGGUUACACUAAUUUCAAAAAUCAUUUUUCAUAUCACAUCUAACCAUCAACCCUAAUCAGUUCUCAAGCCCAGGGGGAAGCUACUAUUAUCCCCAUUUUACUGCAAAGUAUCUGAUGUUUGGGGAGGUUAAAUGCUUGUGUUAACACCACUAGUCUGAGUAUGAAAAAACUGGAAGUUGCCUUUCUUUCAGUUCUGCUCUCCACAUGUGGAGCAGACAAAAGAGGAGACUGAGAGACUGAAAUGGGUUAAGGUCGGGGGUCCCAGGAACUAGCACCUGGCAGGUCAUUAAGUGACAACUACUGACAUAUUGACAAAGAAAUGGGCCCUUUGGGCCAUGUGAGAAUUAUAUAUGUUACGACAAACAAGAAAACUUCACAAUACUAUAGAAUUCACCCAUUCAGUCACCUGAAAAAUAUUUUAAAAUAUCCUACUGUAUACAAGAACCUCUUGUAGACACUGGGGUAUAGCAGUGAACAAAAAAGACAAAAAUCUACUUUCAUCAGGUCACAGCCCAGAAUUGGGAGUGAGAUAACAAACAAAUAUAUAGUAUGUGAGGUGCAGGCAAGUUUGGUGGAGAACACUAAAGCUGAGACGGGUGGCAGGGGUGUUAUUUUAAAUAGAGGAGCCAGGAAGGGCUAAUAAGGUGAGAACUAAAGGAGUGACCAUCUGGUCUGGGAAAGCUGUUGUAGGCAGAGGGGAUAGCAGGCACAAAGGCAUUGGGGUGGGAGCCAGCCUGAUGGGUUUGAGUCACAGCCAGGAGCCAGUUUGCAGGGUAGAGGGAGCACAGUGAGGAGCUAAGGAAAUGAGGUCAGCAAGGUGACAGGGCCGGUCCCUGGGGCCUGCUGACGUUGGUCUUUGCACUCCACUCACGUGGUGCAGAGGACCGAUGUAAGCUAUUAUAUUUCAGCAGGUUCAUUCUGACAACUACAUUGAGACUAUGCCGAAAGGGCCAAGGGCUGCAAAAAAGAUACCUGUUAGGAGGUCACUGUGUUAGUCAGGGGAGGGAGACAGUUCAAUGAACCAAAAUGAUGAUUCGCAAUAUGAGACAUGUGAUGUUGUCAUGGACAUCAGUGUCUCUGUCUGGAAGAUGCCUACCCACUCUCUUCUGUUUCGUCUUCAGCUCCUGGAUAUUGGCGUUCUGCUGAUCCUUCAUACUUCACAUUUCACUGCACUGAUUACCUGAACUCUGUAAGAGAUUUUGGACUCCAAAUCAAAAGAUCAAAGCGUCUCGGGUUCGCCAUUUGAUCUUGGCUUCUGAGGGCUCAUUUGUAGAGUGUUUUUGCACCCAGGAAAGAGCGUUGUGAGUUGCUGAGUCAGCCUUCACCUGUUGUGUUUUUGUGCAUCGCAGCUUUGGCUUGAUGGCCAAGGGAAGGAAUUAGUAUGGAGGGAAGCAUCUGUGUGGGAUCCAGGAAAAGUAAGAGCAGGUGGAGAGAGAGGUUACAGACCUGGAAAACUUUCCUAGUUGCUUAGAAGCGUGGCCUUCCGGUCAACACAUAGAGUUAAAGAAAGCUACAGCCACCGCAGUGAGUACUUUCUGGUUACCAAGGCAAGCUCCUCCCACCCCCCAUUGCCACCUUUUUUAUUUUCCCUAGAUAGCAGAAUCAAAGUGGAUAGAAUUACUUUGUGCAUAUAUCCCAGUCACAUGUUUUCAUUUUUCCCAAGAAAAGCUGUACUGGAUUGAGUCAUGUCCUCAUAAUUUAGGUUCACCCAGAAUCUCAGAAUGUGACUUUAUUUAGAAAUAGGGUCUUUGCCGAUAUAAUUUAAGAUAAUAUCAAACUAGACUAGGACAGGCUCUGAAUCCACUAUCAGACAAGAAGAAGACACAGGGAACAGAGAAGACACACAGGUAGAACCCCACAUGAAGGUGGAGGCCAACAUCAGAAUGAUGUGCCAACAAGCCAAGCAACAGGAAGGAUGGCCCAUGGCCACCAGAAGCUAGAGAGAGCCAUGAAACAGAUUCUCCCCUAGAGGUCCCAGAAGGCAGCAGCCCUGCCCACACCACGAUUUCAGA